This is a long non-coding RNA of Oncorhynchus masou masou (cherry salmon), 1136 nucleotides long. RefSeq lists it as uncharacterized. NCBI's taxonomy places the organism in Eukaryota, Metazoa, Chordata, Actinopteri, Salmoniformes, Salmonidae. The record is from RefSeq and is a predicted model, not a curated record. The transcript is spliced from 2 exons.
GUUCAGACAGUCAACAUCUGGUGCAUCAUUACCUGUAGGAGGGAGAGAUGGAGGGAUGAAAUGGAGAUCAUGAUCCCCUGGUUACCCAAGUGGAUGUGAGCUUUAAGGUAAAUAAAACAAAACGUUGGCAUUUUAAUAUGACCCUUCUUCAAAACUAAUUGUUUGUGGCUGAAUUUCAAUUUGCAUUUUUAGAAAAAACACAAGGACUCUAGAGGACCCCAGGUUUACAUGGAUGGCUACUACAGGGUUUAUCACAGACUUUACAUCUGACCUCAAUAAAGCCAGGAAUCACAGAAUCAAGUUAUUGGAGAAAACAUUUAAAAUCACUUCAACAAAACCUGAAAAGGAAUUACUCAAAAAUGUCAGCAAUGAUUUGAGGGUUUUUAAACUGGACCUGAAUGGUUUAUUAAGGAGGAGAGCAGAGUUCAUCAUGCAUAGAGUGAGGCAGAACUAUCAUUUUAAAGGGAGCAAACCAAGCAGGCUUCUAGCAUUAACAUUCAAACAAAGUGAAUCUUGUACUUCUAUAAAAUCUAUUCAUUCCCUGUUGUUACGGAUACAGUUAUCCUGUGUGUGUGUUUCUUUUCUCUCCUUCUCCCCUCACAGGUGAAAAUCAUCACCCCCAAUCAGUCAACAAUCAAUCAUCAAUCAGAAGACACACCUCCUCCUAUUUCCUAACCUAUCACAGUUCCUUCCCCAUGGUUUAAAAACCCCAUCAUUUGUUUGUUCUAGAGCUCAAUCUCUCUGUAAAUGCCAUGUCUGUAGGUCUCUGUGUUUCACUCUCGCUUUGUGUCUUAACCUCUCUUUUGUUUAAGCACCUCAUAGCACUUUGUCAUCACCUGUGAGUAUUGUUUUUGGUUAUGGUGUUUGUUUGUUGCUGAUGGGAAAAGGGGGAAACCAAGACAAGUCGCCCAUGGGCAUACACUACCCGUAGGUGAACUUUGUUAAAUACACUAGUUAGAACUGGGCGGACCACCCACUGUAUUUUUGGUUAGUUAGUUAGCUGUUGUUAAAGUAGGCUAGUCUAGCUUAGGGGUGUUUUUCAAUACUUAUUGUUUCUUUCCUUGGGUCCAGCUCAGCCCCUUUUCCUGCUCCCCCCAUUACCGUGUGUUUAUAAAUAAACCUGGAGUUUGACGGUA